This 200-nucleotide unclassified non-coding RNA is filed under the name soil metagenome. Its description in RNAcentral is "partial contains internal transcribed spacer 2 and large subunit ribosomal RNA". The record is from RNAcentral.
GGACGUUAGCUCGUUCGUAAUAUAUUAGUGACUGAAUUUCGAAUUCGGAUUGACUCAGUGUAAUAGACUGUUCACUGAGGACGCUGUUUCUAAUCGGAAAGAGUGGCCGAGUAAGACGACUAGUGGCUUCCAACCCUUUAGUUGAGUCAACUAUUUUUGAUUUAGACCUCAGAUCAGGCAGGAUUACCCGCUGAACUUAA